This 214-nucleotide long non-coding RNA is filed under the name Elaeis guineensis (African oil palm). RNAcentral's name for it is "long non-coding RNA (EGUI_LNC077182)". The record is from RNAcentral. Lineage: Eukaryota; Viridiplantae; Streptophyta; Magnoliopsida; Arecales; Arecaceae.
AUUACUACAGUGACUUGCAAGCAACUCACUGUACUUUAGUAUCAAAUUAACUGAGUUUCUAAUUCAGUGAUAAAAGAUUUUUGGGUACAGUCAAGUACUUGUUAAGUAGUGCGUGAGUCAAGAUGGGAUUGACCCUUCCAAAUUAGUAGAAGUUAAUGUAUCGAUGUAUUUCAAUUUAGCAAAAUUUGGGCCUGAAUAAUCCAUGUGAUGGAUU